Odocoileus virginianus texanus is the source of this 4565-nucleotide non-coding RNA. The record is from RefSeq and is a predicted model, not a curated record. Lineage: Eukaryota; Metazoa; Chordata; Mammalia; Artiodactyla; Cervidae.
AAGCCCAUGGACAGAGCUGCCUGGCAGGCUACAGUCCGUGGGGUCACAAAGAGUCGGACACGACUGAACAACAGCUGCCGGGGAGUCAUGGCAAGGUAGUGGUGUGAGACAUUUUGGGUCAUCGUGUGCAGUCAGACGGCCAGACUCAGGAGUUCCGCUCUGCCACCUCCCGCAGCCAGCUAGGAGACCUUCUCGGCCUCCUUCUGGGCGACUGGGACAGCUGCCGCAGCUGCUCCACAAGGCCGGGGACUGACCUGGCUGAUGCAGGAUGGAAGGUCUCAGCAAAUCUCCAUCCUACUGCAGACUGAGACGGGUUAAAAAUACCACCCAGCAUAAUGUGACGGUAUCGUAGCGAAUAACUGGCAAGACCCCCCAGGCUGGCAUCCCCCCUGCCCUGUGGCCGAGCAGCCGUGUGGAGGCCACGAGUGCCUUGACGACACCCGCAUCUCGUGCACAUGUGACUGGGAGCCGGGUGGAGGCAGCACGCUGUGUAGACAGUGUCUCACAGCGAGUACUUUCACCUCUGCUUUCCUCAGAGAAAUAAAACACAGAGUGGUCCUGACGUUCAGAAUGAUGUUCAGGAUCUUAGCAGAAGAUCUUCAGAUCUUCAGAUCUUCACGAAAGCAGGUCAUGAAGCAAGUCAUGAAACCCAUCUAACCUUGGGGUCUAAUUUGAAGGGAUUUUAGUGAUGUCUCCGUCUAACCCUGGGCUGGAUCCUAUCAGAGUCAGAUAAGGUAACAGUGCAACAGAAAUGUAACCAUGUAAAGCGGUGUGAUACAAUAUGAUGCAAUGUAAUUAUCUUAGCUCAACUGCCAGUACAACAAGAUGCAGGCCGGGUCGCAGUGUUCUAAGUCAGGAGAAGACAGGCAGUGCUCCGAAGCCCGGUCCAGGCCCCCAGCAGCCCCUCUGCUCACACCUGCCAGCAAAGACGCUGGCGUCCCAGAGCUUCAGUUCAGGAGCGGCCCCGGUCGUCCGCCCCUGUGCCCCUGGACACGGGGGUGCCCGGGUCCCCCCCUGCUCUCCAGCCUCUGUGAAACCUGUAGGCUCGUGGCCUUUGUUUCGCCUGGAACCUGAGGGCUUCUACCUGCAGAGACCUGGAACCGAGUCUCCGCCAGCCGACCCCAGUCACCAAAGGAGGGAGCAUGGAGGCCUUGGUGAGCUGGACAGGGAGCCCCUGCAGCCUCUACCCUCCCUAACACUUCUGAAAAUGGGCCAUGAAAAGUGUGACAAAGGAGAACUAUUUUUCUUAAACAUUACCAGCAUCACCGCUUCGAGGCACAAAGUAAGGAAACCCCCACGUCUUGAACAGAAGCUGUGAUGGUUUUGUCAGCGUGGCUAGGCAUCCCUCUCGUUGCAGUUACUGUAUUUUUGGUGAAUGUGUUCUGCAGACGUGGUUAAUGGCUAGAGUUGGCUGCCAAUGAAGUCUACGCGACCUUGGCUUUGGAUGUUGACCUUGCAUCCCCUGACCUAGCUGCUCUGACGGAACCUUCAGGAUGGUGUUGAAUAGUGGCAUUGAGAGGCUCACCCCUGCCUCCUUCCUGACCCCGUGGGGCAGCGUUCAGUCGUCCACUGUUAAGUGUGAUGGCACUUGGAGACGUGUCAUUGGUGCUGUUUAUAAGUUUGAAGACUGUCAUCCCUUCCUCUCCUAGUUUGCUGAAACCAUUUACCAGGACCAAGUUCCUGCGGACCCAGCGACUUCUCCUUAGACAUGUGGCUGCGUCCAGCAGGGAAGCCAUCUGGGCCCGGGGCUCCCUGUUGGGAAGACGUCUGGAAACAGCUGCUCGUUCCUUGUGAGGCCGACUCCCCUGAAGGUGGGGGUGAUUCUGCAUUCCAGAGCCACAGCCCAGGACCAGGAAGGGUUGCCGUGAGCUCCCACCCCCCAGCGGGAGGAAGACGUCGCCUCAGGGAGACAGCCCCCCUCCCCCGCCAGAGGCCUCACCUCCCCCCGCCUCCCUGGUGCUGGGGUGCCGGGCCCUGGAGACCCCCUUGAGGCCCCCCAGGUGCUGCCCUCAGUCUCCUGCUCCCAGUCGAUGGCCGCACCCACCCCCGCCUUCCACAACCAGACGCCCUUUGGUCUGUUUUCUGUUUGCAGCACCCCCUGCCCUCCUGCACUCCCAUCAUCCCAGCAACAGGUUCCUGAAGUUCGGAUGCUUCCUGCACCCAUAGCCACCCCUCCCUCCCCUUCCAGAGCAGCUGCCGGGCUUGGAGACACAUGGCUUGAUUUACUGAGUAAUUGGUAUGAUAGGAUCCCCACCAUCAAGGUUUUCAAGACUAUGUCUGGGAGUCCCAUGUGCCCUCGCGAUAACCGCAGCUGCUCCGGGCUCAGACACCACGGAGGGCAGGUGUCCGACAUCCGCGGCUCCCUGUCCUCAGCGAUCCUCACAGCGGUGCUCCCACUGUUGUGAGCACAGAGACAGAACCUCAGGAAUCAUGUGGUUUUGUCACAGGCGCACAACUGAGGCGUCAGGAUGUGAGCCUGGGCCUGUUUUGUUAAAGUCUGCUUUCAACACCCUACACCCAUCUGCCCAUCUCCCUACAUCCGGGAAAAUUCUAGAAAUUCGGAGAGAGACUUGCUGUCUCUGCACCGGGAACUGCUGAAGGCUCUCAAGCACUUUAUCAGAGCGGGGCUGACGUGGUGGGUGAGCAGGUCUGGGUGUCGGCUCUCUCCCCGCUGCAGUUCUUAGCGUUGACUAAGUAUGAGAAUCUGGCUCCUGCCUUCGGUAAGACACCUAAUUUCAGGUUCACGUGGAAAACUCAAGGGCAGGUGCCGAGGAAGCCAGGAGAGAGUCCAGCCAGCGGUGAAGUGCGGCAACUUGCUCUGGGACAAGCCCUCAAUCAGCUGAAAGGCCUCGACAUUGAUGCUCUGGCCUCACAGUGGCCCUGGGCCUGAUGGCCGCCCUGAGCUUCCAGAGUGAAAGGAAUUGGGUCGUGCCCACGCUCGUCAGCCGCUCAGGUCGUGCGUCAACCGCAGCUCCUGCUUCCCAGCCUUUCUCGUCACCACGCCGCCGGGACCCUCCCGGGGGCAGCAGAGCCACACAGGGCCCCAAGGGUCCCACUGUGCCUCUGCCCGGCCCUGGCGUCAUGGAGAGGGCACAGCAGGCAGCAGACAUCGGCCGUUAUGUUGAAAAGCUGCCUCAUCCGCAGUGCUUGUUUGGGGCUAAGACAGAGAGCCACCCAGAGCCUUCCAAAGCCUCCGCCACCUUUAGCUGAAUGGGAGGCCUUCACCUGCCAAACAGAGGCCAGAAAGAAACCCACGACCAGAGAGGCACGGGUGGGCUCAGCCGGAGCCAUCCACGUAGAGAAGGUCUCUGCAGCAGAGACAGUGUCUUGAUGGACUCUCCCUCUGAUGACAAACCAGCGCCUCCUGCUUGGAAGCUGUCAAGCCCUUCAGUGUAAAGACUUCAGAGGCACCAACCACUCAGGUGCCAGGAGACAAGAAAGCUGGGAUUCCCAGGAGGGGAAAGAGAGAAGGGGUGACUCCCUGGGCUUUGGGGAACGUUUGAAAGCUAAAAGCAGGGUUCUGUUUUGCCGCUGAGAUGCAAGCGUGUCAGAAGCUCCUGUCCUCCUGCGUCGCCGCCCUGAGGCUCAACGGCGUCUCACGCUGAAACCCACUCCCCGGAGGACACAGGACGUCCUCCAUCACCGAGGCCUGGAGGGCAGGUGGCUGCUCGUGUGGGUCAAUUGCAUUUCUCUUUUCAGAACUUCCACGGCCACAGCGUGGCCCAAGGAGACCCUGGCCCACUGUCACCCCGUCGCCCGGGGCCUUUGCCCCCUUGGCCACGGCCCCCGUCCCUCGCCGACCCGAGAAGGGCAGCCAGCUCCCUCUGAAUUAAAACUGUAAUGCAUCUGUCCCAUUUACACAAAGCCUUGGCUUUGACACAUGCAAUUACUAUGAACACAGAGGCAACAUGAUUGCUAAGGGCUCCAGAAAGAGAGUUUAAUCAGCAGACGUGGGUUUCUCCGGGCCGAUUUAUAAUUUCACUCCUUGCUAUUCCUUUAUGUUCUUAUGUGUUCAGAUAAUUAGAUACACUAGUUCUUGCUUCCCGAGAGGCCAGAAAGGGCAAAAUUCCUAUUCUUUUUACAUUAGAAAGAUUAAAUUAUAAUAUAGAAAAUCUGUAACUUUGGGUAGAAAUGACAAAUUCACACUACAUUAAUUUCAGUGCUUACAAAAUGUUACAAAUAAUUUGUGCGUCCUCUCCUCUCUUGUAGGUGCAUGUGAAUUAAUUACCUAUCCAAUUUCAAUGUCUUUCAAGUCAGCUUUCCACAGACAACUCUGAAAUUAAAAGAAAAUAAGGUUUGAUUUCCAUUUGCCAAGUAUAUUUGUUUGAGAUGUUUAACCAUUUAAGCCCAUGUACACGUCCCUGAGAACAUGGACACAAACAAAUGUGCCCACUUACAAUGCAGACUCUGUGGGAAGCCGCAGAGUUCCAGGGCUGGUAACUAGGAAGGGAAGGACAAACCUCCGUCCCACGCCGCCAGCAGGAGGGACUCACCCAACACCCAAAGUAGCGGUGUGGGCACCCUGGUCAGUGCUCAGUGACGCCAGAAAGAGGCGUCUCCCCAGG